Molecule: transfer RNA, 72 nt
Filed under: Camelus bactrianus (Bactrian camel)
Lineage: Eukaryota; Metazoa; Chordata; Mammalia; Artiodactyla; Camelidae
Also listed under: 2 other names
Rfam family: tRNA
About the family: Transfer RNA (tRNA) molecules are approximately 80 nucleotides in length. Their secondary structure includes four short double-helical elements and three loops (D, anti-codon, and T loops). Further hydrogen bonds mediate the characteristic L-shaped molecular structure. tRNAs have two regions of fundamental functional importance: the anti-codon, which is responsible for specific mRNA codon recognition, and the 3' end, to which the tRNAs corresponding amino acid is attached (by aminoacyl-tRNA synthetases). tRNAs cope with the degeneracy of the genetic code in two manners: having more than one tRNA (with a specific anti-codon) for a particular amino acid; and 'wobble' base-pairing, i.e. permitting non-standard base-pairing at the 3rd anti-codon position.
Source: Rfam by way of RNAcentral
GAGGGGAUAGCUCGGUGGCAGAGCACAUGCUCAGUAGGCAUGAGGUCCUGGGUUCAAUCCCCAGUCCCUCCA